CGCUUUUGUCCACACCACUCAUUCGAUUAUGAUAUCGAUUUUCGCACCUUAAAACUUGUACCAAAUCGUCAAAAGACGGUUAAAGGACAAUGUGAAAACAUUUCUCAGACAAUCCAAAACAUCCUUCAAACGGAAAAGAGUAAUUUCAUUCAUGAAAGACAUUUGAUGCAUUUCACUCUAUUCCUCUACUUUGACGCUAUAAGACAUGCAAAUCAAAGAAGAUGGUGCCAUGAAUGUACCAUAAAGAUUUUCCGUCGAUCAUUCGACAUCGCUCGCCAUACAGUCCAUUUGUGCGUACGUAAGAUUUUCUCCCUUCACCCCUUGACUGAGACGGAUUUUCUUCCCAAUGAACUACGAUCAGAAGAAGAUCAAACUCUGAUCGGCAUUUUUUGGUUCCUUCCACCAAUCAUAGAGGGAGAGGAUGAACGGUCACGGUUUCCACGGCGAUCCAUGUCGGAAAAUCAUUUGAUCAUCACAAAAAAAUCACUGCACAACGUUGCAUCCAAAGAUUAUAUAAGAGGCAGCCAUGUUCCAUGUUUUCAGCCUUAUGAAGAUGUGUAUGAACUGAAUAUCGAGGAAUGACUACUACAGGAUGUACUAGACGCAAAUCUUGAAAAAGAUCCAUCCAUUUGCAUAUGCAUUGGAAAAACAAUAUUCUUAACUAGGUUGUUGGAUUAGGGAUCGUCGUACAAAAUAUCAUUACUAUCGAGGUAUUAAAAGACGAUUCUUAGGAAAAAUACCAUCUAAACGAGGUCUUUUGUACAUUGAUCAGAAUUGGCAUUGCAUUAGUAGUAUAAUGGACUUUAAGAUGGAACUUCAUUUUUAACUUGGUGCAUUUCCUUCUUUCUUUUCUCAUACAUAUUAUUUCUACAUCAUCUAAUAUACUCAUUCAUUUCUUCAUUCACACAUCCAACUUUCUAAAUUCUAUCUCUCUACUCUCAUUAAAUCUCGUCCAGUUUUAAUCACUUUGCCAUUCAUCUGUCUUUCUACUAAUUAUCAUCACUGUUUAUCAUAUCAUUUAUACCUUUUCUUUAUCACUAUAUACACUUUUGGAUGUCUUACACUUAACUAUAGCUCAACUACUUUGAAAGAAAUUAAAGGAUGGGAUUCUAAUAUCAUUGAUUUCUAUACAAAACAUGCAAAAGUAGUUGGUUUUCAAAGGUACAAUCGUCCAACUGAUGAAGAGAGUAAAGCGCUUCGUUUUCGCAAAACAAAAAAUAAGAUGCUGCAACAGCUCAAAAUUCUAAACAGACACGUCAAACCUCAAGAUGAACGAGGAGGAGGAAGAAAAGAAAAGCCUUGAAGAUGGAAAAAAGGAAAUAAAAGAACAAGACUUUCUUUCCACUCUAACCCCGAGAUGGUUUGAUGAAGAUUCUAUGAGAGAAUGGUAUAAACGUGUGGUGAAAUGGUAAAAGAUUCAUGAGAUGAACAGAUUUGAAACCAAGCUGCAACCAAGCACACAAACUGAGAUUGACAACGGCCGUACCAUCGAAAAACGACAUAAAGAACAAAAGAAAAGAACUAUAGGCAUGUAUUCAUUAGGAAUUAAAAGUGGAUCACAUUCUCAUUCCCUUACUUGGAAAGGUCCAAGACGAUACGGCCGGCAAUCUUGUUCUCAUGCAUGAGACGGUAGACGUCGGGAAGAGUAGAGAAGGGUUGGACCUUGUAGUAAGGCUUGACGAGACCACGGGAAACGUAUUCAAGAGCCUCGAUAGAGUCAAUACGGUUACCGACGUGAGAACCGCAGAUCUUAAGCAUCUUAACGGUCAACCAGAAGAUAUCAGCACCGAGCUUGGCACCGGCAGGCAUGGAAACAGUGACCAUGGUGGAACCGGGACGGGCAAAGCCAGCAGCUUGCUCGUAAGACUUGGGGGAGGUGGAUAAGACCAAGGUACCGUGGGCACCACCGUUGGUGGCAGCCUUGACAGCCUCAAUCAUGUCGGCUUCCUUCUUGAAGUCAAGGAAGACCUCAGCACCAAAGGACUUGACGAGCUCAGCCUUGUCAUCACCAGUAUCAAUGGCAACAACACGCAUAGCCAUAGCCUUGGCGUAUUGGACGGCAAGAUGGCCAAGACCACCACCGGCACCGGGAAUGCAGAUCCACUCACCAGGGCCGACCUUGGAUUCCUUCAAGGCACGAUAGCAAGUGAUACCAGCGCACAUGAUGGGAGCAGCAACCUCGAGGGGAACGGACUCGGGGAUGAUGGUAGCAUGGGUGGCAUUGGCAAUGCAGUAGUGUUGGAAAGUACCGUCAACGGUGUAACCGGAAAGUUGAAUGUGAGGGCAGAUGGUCUCCUCAGCCUUCAUACAGUACUCGCAGUUACCGCAAGAAGAGUUCAUCCACUUGACACCAACACGGUCACCAAUCUUAAGACGAGUGACACCGGCACCGACCUUGACGACGACACCAGCACCUUCGUGACCACCGAUCAAAGGCAUCUUGGCGGGAAGAGGCCAGUCACCUUGAAGAGCGUGUAAAUCGGUGUGGCAGACACCGGUGUACUUGAUGUUAACCAAGACCUCGUCUUGACCGGGCUCGGCGACGGGGACUUCCUCGAACUUGACGUUCUCGGGACCACCGUGGGUGUGGAAAACGGCAGCCAACUGCUUGUCAGGAAUAGUCAUUAUGUGGUUAGAAAAAAGAAAAGACUUAAAAGUUUGUGAUAGUCAAGACAAUGGAAUUCUCUUGCUUAAAGAAAAGCGAAGGCACCUGUCCACCACCCACUAUUUAUACCAUGGGAGGCGUCAAACCGAGUUUUUGCGAAAGGAUUAUCGCACCUCUCCCCAAGUAACAUCGGCAAAGCAAAAACGGAGCGGAAGACCAAUGAGACGCGGAAGGGGAGCGCCGAAUGAGGAAAGCGAGAGAGAAAGAAGUGGAUGGAAUGAUUCCCCGCCAAAGUGGACACAUUUCGGGAAUCUUCAGGAAGCAUGGAUCACCUUAUGGACAAGAAGAUAAUCCGGAAGCCAAUAGGAGGGCGACAGGGGGUCAGCGAUAAGCGUCGGAAAAAACUUUAUGAUAUGGUAAAUACGUAGGAGGUUACGGUGCAGAGGAGGGGCCGGUAGCGAGUGAUAGCGAGGGAAAGACGAUCGCUAUCGGGCCGUAAGGAGGAAAUGGGAGGUUGGGGGAAGGAUGCGUUGGAAUGCGGAGUAGAGAAAUUGAAGAGAGAGAGAGGACACACCUAGAGAGAAAGAAAUGGAUAUAGAGAAAGAGAAAAAAUAAGAGGAAUACGGAUACGAUGGAGUGCGUUGAAUGAGAGAAAAGAAAAGAAAAGGAAUGAUAAGAGAAGGAAUGAAAAUUGUUUUGUUUUGUUUUCAAUUGCUUUCUUUUGUUUUCUUUGUCUUUGUUCUUCCUUCCCUUGUCCCGAUGCUGUUCUUCUCACCAGCUUCCGCAUGAUAGCCAUUUUCUUAGUUGUUGUAGGGCAUGCCAUUCGAAUGUCUGCGUCACCCACAGCUCUCGACCAUGGGUGUGGACGGUUUCCGAUACAAUGUAAAUAAAGCUACAUCGGAAGAAGAGUACAGCGGCAGUGUCAGUAGCAAUAGCAGUGACAUUGACAAUGGCAAUGGUAAUCACAAUGACAAUAUUACUAGCAGUCGACGGCUCGACAAACGGCACACCAAACGUACCACUCAAUUUCUCUCUAUCCUUAACCCUUUAUAGAGUUGGGAGCGGGUUAUUUCGUUCAUCUCGUCUCGUCUCGUCUCGUCUCUUACGACUAACAUUGUAGGCCUAUGCACCCAACAUUUCCCUAGUAGUAUGCCGUAUUAGGGCAAACAACAUCGUACCAUCCACCUAGCACUCAACCCUAUUCCUUUAGCCUUCUUUUGUCGUAGUAUUUUUUUUUAUCUGAUAUGGAGAUCCGCGUGGACCUCGUUUAAAAGAUAUUUCAUCACAUAAGGAUAACCAUACAAGAAUAUUUUCAUAUUAGUGGAGUGGAGAAUAAAAGAAUCAUUACUAGGUA
This 3959-nucleotide long non-coding RNA is filed under the name Schizosaccharomyces pombe (fission yeast). Its description in RNAcentral is "antisense RNA complementary to adh1, major transcript". The record is from RNAcentral. Lineage: Eukaryota; Fungi; Ascomycota; Schizosaccharomycetes; Schizosaccharomycetales; Schizosaccharomycetaceae.